This is a non-coding RNA of Triticum aestivum (bread wheat), 135 nucleotides long. The record is from Rfam. NCBI's taxonomy places the organism in Eukaryota, Viridiplantae, Streptophyta, Magnoliopsida, Poales, Poaceae.
AUAAUACUCCAUCCAUCCUAAAAUUCUUAUCUUAGAUUAGUCUAGAUACAGAUGUAUUCAAUACUAAAACAUGAUUUGAUAUAUCCGUCUUUAAACAAAUUUAAAACAAGAAUUUUGAGACGGAAGGAGUACUCC